Molecule: long non-coding RNA, 558 nt
Organism: Lathyrus oleraceus (garden pea)
Lineage: Eukaryota; Viridiplantae; Streptophyta; Magnoliopsida; Fabales; Fabaceae
Exons: 3
Source: RefSeq, a predicted model, not a curated record
UUGCGAAUGGAAGAUCGAGUUUGGAUCCAACUCCAAUCCGGCUCAGAAUUCCGGUGCGGUGGAUUUUCAGAGAAUCGCAGAGUCAUCACUGCGGUGGUUACGUGGCGAAGUGGUCACGCGAGAGGGAAGUGAAGUGAGCUUCUCAGAGAUGAACUGUGAAGAAUGAGCUCUAAUCUUUGAGCAAAAAGCAACCGAUUCUGAAUAUGAGGGUAGAGAGCUUGAGAGUGAAGAGUGAAGAUUGAAGGUGAGGAAUGAAAAAACUAGAAAAGCUUCUGAUUGCACUGUUAUAUACAUGGUAUUCUCAACCAAAUCGGGCAACGGAUCGGGCAGGGAUAAGUCAAAAUUGGACCUUAGCUUGCAGUUCAGCUGGAUUUGCACGUUACUUCUAUGAAGGUUUGUUGUGGUUGGAAGUUCUGCUGUUAAAAUGUUAGUUUGUUUUGUUAGUUACAAGUCUGUCAAAUCAAUUUAAAAUUAGUUAGGUUAAGUUAGAGAACUAGUUAGUCAUGGUUAUUAUGAAAUUAGAAAAAAAAACUUAACUGUUAGUCAAAGUCCUGCUGU